GUCUCGUUAGCUCAGCUGGUAGAGCAUCUGACUCUUAAUCAGGUGGCCGUUGGUUCGAUCCCAACACGGGACACCA
Molecule: transfer RNA, 76 nt
Filed under: Campylobacter sp. LR185c
Lineage: Bacteria; Pseudomonadati; Campylobacterota; Epsilonproteobacteria; Campylobacterales; Campylobacteraceae
Description: tRNA-Lys
Rfam family: tRNA
About the family: Transfer RNA (tRNA) molecules are approximately 80 nucleotides in length.
Source: RNAcentral